AUUUUUUUUCAGUCCUUUCUUUCCAAAGAGUUUAGCAAUUAAAUGGACAGUAAGACUCAGCAGUUAUACAUAAAAAGCUGUUUAUCUAAGGGUAUCACAGUGCUUGACAAAGGUGGGCAAUUCUCACAGUGCCCUUUUUUUGCUGGGUGAGAUGCUGGCAUGCAGAGACAGCGAGCAGUUUAUCUGAGUAACAGAGUCGGUAGCAGAGGUAGUAAUUAAAACUUUGGUCUCAUGACACCCAACUCUGUACUGUAACCACUAGACAAACUGCCUCCCGGAGCCGUAUCUCAUCUCUAUCUCCCUACAUAUGCACAAUAAAGCCUUUGUAGUAUAUGCUGUACACUUGCUAUUGAUAGUUGUAUCAGCUGAAAGAUAAUGCUCGCUCUUCUAGCUGGCUGCAAGUGUGCUCCACACAGCCUCAAUUAUCUGAACAUAAUGGUGGAGAAGGGGAGAAUUUUGGAUAACUGAGGGCUUCAAAUAACUGAAGGAGUUUUCAGUGCAAUUAAUAACAUGGUAGGAACACAGAAGGUUUUGGAGAGCAGGUUCAGAUACCUGGUGUCACACUGUGCAGUCAGUCAAUAACAAGCAUACUGCUCUUUCAGGGUUUUGCUUUUUUUCUGAACAUAGUUGUGACUUUUCCUUGCUUUUUUUCAGACAAAAAAAAAAAAAAGAAGAUUAAUGUAUUUUAGAUGUGUUGGUAUCCCUUUAAGUUUAAUGAAGACUAACAGCCAUCAUUUUGGUCAAUGGGAAGCUGCUUAUGGACACAGCUCUGUCCUCUGCCUCACACCAGAUGCAGGAAUUGAGAACAGCCUUUACCCAUGCAGCGGUUAUGAACUAACAGGCUGGUGCAGAUUUUCAAAACCAGUGGAAGUGAGGACAGGACUAAGAGGAACACUUGUGCUCCUUGAAGUGCUUCCAGCUGGUCUAAUAAAAGGGAAAACCUCACCCUGUGGAUUUUGCUUUGCUGCUGAAUGCGAGGAUGAAAUACGUCAAGUGAAUAAUACUUAUUUUCCAAAGCUGGCUCUGACUCAAACCUGCUGGUUCAAGGGCUUCAGAGACAGAGCCCAGGAGGGGCCCUGGACACUGAGGUCCUGCCUGCUGGCUCCUGCUCACGUCACCGAGGCACAUCCUCCCACAUCAGUCCCAUCAGCUGUGCCAGUGUCACCGGCAGCAGAGCUGCACAGCAGUGCCUGAGCUGAGCCACCUAAUUGAAAGGCCUUUUCAUGGAGUGCAGUGACCUGCCCUGGAGGGCUCUCCCUGGCCUGUGGUUUCAUGCUCUGCAGUCUCAUCCAAGACAACUGCAUUUGGGAUUUCUCUUCCAGCCUAUUUCCUACCGAGUAAUUUGGAGUAGGUACAUUUCUGUAGUGCAGGACUGGGGAGUACUAAAAACCAUGCAUGGGAAGGUGUCCUGUGCAAAGAGUGCCCUUACACAAGAACAUGUAUGAAUAAUAGGAAAUGGUUUGGGUGUGGGAUGCAGUUGGGAUUCAUUGUCACUGCAAGGAGCAGAGACCAUUGCCUUGGCUUGGUGGUGCAGGUCCAGGCUCUAUCUCAGGACUCUACUCUUGCCACUGUCCCUUUGGCAUGGGCACACCUCUGCUGUCCCCUGCAGCAAAGGGGUCAGCACCAGGGUGAAUUGCAACCUGGGGAAAAGCUUGUCAACACUGCUUGGUGGUUUGAGGCCAGCAGGAAGAGAGCAGAGCAGCAGG
RNAcentral lists this long non-coding RNA (1706 nucleotides) under Zonotrichia albicollis (white-throated sparrow). RNAcentral's name for it is "lncRNA (ENSZALG00000016850.1)". The record is from RNAcentral. Lineage: Eukaryota; Metazoa; Chordata; Aves; Passeriformes; Passerellidae.